CUGUCCCGAGAGCUGGCCCUGUCCCCACACCCCUGUCCCGAGAGCUGGCCCUGUCCCCACACUGCUGUCCCGAGAGCUCCUGUCCCCACACUGCUGUCCCAAGAGCUGGCCCUGUCCUCACAUCGCUGUCCUGAGAGCUGGCCCUAUCCCUACACCACCGUCCCCUGAGCUCCUGUCCCUGCACUGCUGUCCCUGUCCUUGUACCGCUGUCCCAAGAGCUCCUGUCCCCACACCGCUGUCCCAAGAGCUGUCCCUGUCCCCACACCGCUGUCCCGAGAGCUGUCCCUGUCCCCGGUCUGGUCUGGCAGGUUUCUGUACAGACCAGAGAGUGCCGAGUGAGAUCGGGGCGUUGCGGUGUGUUGAACUGGGACAACGGGCUCUUCUCCAUCCCUGCAGCAGGGCAGAAGCGCUGACGUGCUCUUCUUCUUCCUAAUUC
RNAcentral lists this long non-coding RNA (436 nucleotides) under Lepisosteus oculatus (spotted gar). Its description in RNAcentral is "lncRNA (ENSLOCG00000022895.1)". Lineage: Eukaryota; Metazoa; Chordata; Actinopteri; Semionotiformes; Lepisosteidae. The record is from RNAcentral.